GACGAACGCUGGCGGCGUGCUUAACACAUGCAAGUCGAACGGUGAUCCCGCUUCGGUGGGGGAUCAGUGGCGAACGGGUGAGUAACACGUGAGCAACCUGCCCCUGACUCUGGGAUAACUCCGGGAAACCGGGGCUAAUACCGGAUAUGACGUGCCUGCGCAUGCGGGUGUGUGGAAAGAUUUUUCGGUGGGGAUGGGCUCGCGGCCUAUCAGCUUGUUGGUGGGGUGAUGGCCUACCAAGGCGACGACGGGUAGCCGGCCUGAGAGGGCGACCGGCCACACUGGGACUGAGACACGGCCCAGACUCCUACGGGAGGCAGCAGUGGGGAAUAUUGCACAAUGGGCGCAAGCCUGAUGCAGCGACGCCGCGUGAGGGAUGAAGGCCUUCGGGUUGUAAACCUCUUUCAGCGCCGAAGAAGCGAAAGUGACGGUAGGCGCAGAAGAAGCACCGGCUAACUACGUGCCAGCAGCCCGACGGUAAACUGUUGUCGU
Molecule: ribosomal RNA, 492 nt
Filed under: uncultured bacterium
Lineage: Bacteria
Description: bacterial SSU rRNA
Rfam family: Bacterial small subunit ribosomal RNA
Source: RNAcentral